UUAAAUUGAAGAGUUUGAUCAUGGCUCAGAUUGAACGCUGGCGGCAGGCCUAACACAUGCAAGUCGAACGGUAACAGGAAGAAGCUUGCUUCUUUGCUGACGAGUGGCGGACGGGUGAGUAAUGUCUGGGAAACUGCCUGAUGGAGGGGGAUAACUACUGGAAACGGUAGCUAAUACCGCAUAACGUCGCAAGACCAAAGAGGGGGACCUUCGGGCCUCUUGCCAUCGGAUGUGCCCAGAUGGGAUUAGCUAGUAGGUGGGGUAACGGCUCACCUAGGCGACGAUCCCUAGCUGGUCU
RNAcentral lists this ribosomal RNA (298 nucleotides) under Escherichia coli. Its description in RNAcentral is "partial 16S ribosomal RNA". It matches the Rfam family "Bacterial small subunit ribosomal RNA", at positions 1 to 293 of the family's 1533-position model. The record is from RNAcentral. Lineage: Bacteria; Pseudomonadati; Pseudomonadota; Gammaproteobacteria; Enterobacterales; Enterobacteriaceae.